Molecule: unclassified non-coding RNA, 228 nt
Filed under: uncultured Actinomycetes bacterium
Lineage: Bacteria; Bacillati; Actinomycetota; Actinomycetes
Description: uncultured actinobacterium contains 16S-23S intergenic spacer region
Source: RNAcentral
UCCGAGUUGACCCCGGCAGUCUCCCACGAGUCCCCACCAUCACGUGCUGGCAACAUAGGAUAAGGGUUGCGCUCGUUGCGGGACUUAACCCAACAUCUCACGACACGAGCUGACGACAGCCAUGCACCACCUGCACACAGGCCACAAGGGAAAGUCCUAUUUCUAGGACGGUCCACCGUUGUCUAGCCCAGGUAAGGUUCUUCGCGUUGCGUCGAAUUGAACCACAUG